RNAcentral lists this long non-coding RNA (343 nucleotides) under Nicotiana tabacum (common tobacco). Its description in RNAcentral is "long non-coding RNA (NTAB_LNC001400)". The record is from RNAcentral. Lineage: Eukaryota; Viridiplantae; Streptophyta; Magnoliopsida; Solanales; Solanaceae.
GUCUCCUUGUAUCUCUUUGUAUGAUCUUCAUCCCCAUCUAACUCUUAACCCAGUAAGAUCUGCCUAUUGUUUAUGUUUCUUUAAUUUUUGUGAGGUUAAGUACUCAAAAUUUGAUAUUUCUUACUCUUAAUUCUUGAGGUUAUUUGCAGCCAGAGAGGAAUUGAGAAUAUCUGUUGUGUUAAAUCGAGUAAGUAUUUUAUUCACCAGUACUUAUUUCUUAUUCUAUUGUUUGCUUCACUAAUUAAUACAUAAUUUAUGAUUAACGUUUAAUUUUUUUUUCUAAAUCAUGUAUAAAAACGUACGACUAAAAUUAUAACUUUUUUUCACAGGUACAUGAACGUGG